CGAGGGGGGCGCUCGAGGGGGAGGGGGCGGGGCCUGCGUCACAGCCCCGCGACGCCCUAGCAACCGCGUCCAAGCUCACGGGCGCCUUUUUUCUACCGAAGGCCGAGUUCCCAGGUUUACACUUCGUGAUGAUCUUUUCUGGAUAAUUGUAUGAUAGGAAAACGAAAACGUCUCCCAAUGGCGUAAGCUUCCUGAGAACAGGUUUGCUCCCUAGGAACACACCUGAAGAACAGAUAGGCUGGCCAACCUUGCCUUGUCCCUUCCUGCUUGUCGUCCUCACGGUAAUAGUAUAGCGCAGCAUCCUGACAUGGGGAAGUAAUGUCUAUCAGAAGCCUGGUUUUGUCCUCACCUCAUCACUUCAGAAUAAGGUAUGCCCAUGAUCCCAGCAACAGAGUCCACGGAGCAGAAUGUCUUCAUGGUCUCUCCACCAUGACAGGAUGUGAGACCUGAACAGAUGAGAUGCCAUCUGCCUGGGCCACUUUUCUGAGCCUUGGAGAAGCCAUGGCUCUUAGGCUGCUGUGUUUGCUGCCUAUGAGUGAUAAUAAACCUGCUUUGUCUGAC
Long non-coding RNA from Mastomys coucha (southern multimammate mouse), 561 nucleotides. RefSeq lists it as uncharacterized. NCBI's taxonomy places the organism in Eukaryota, Metazoa, Chordata, Mammalia, Rodentia, Muridae. The transcript has 2 exons. The record is from RefSeq and is a predicted model, not a curated record.